ACGAGGAACCGCAAGAAGCUGUUCUACAAGCUGGACGGAGGGUCCAAGGAGUUUGAGGAAUAUAACUUGCCCUUGCACCGCAGAUGGAAGAGAGAUAAACCCAAUGCCAAGAAUCCAUCUGAUUGCAAGGUGAAACCUGACAAUGCAGCCCGUUUGAAGGUUCCAAAGCUGAAAGCAAAGCCUGCAGUUCAUAAGGAUGACAUUGUUGAGUUGAAGAGGGACCGAGUGCCAACCUUUAACCAGAUGGUUGAUCCUUACCACCACCCUUUCUGCCUAGACAUACAUGUCCCGAAGGGGUGGGUGCGUGCUUGCUUCGUUCACCGAAUGACCAGCAGGGUUGUGUCCGUGGCUCACUCCAUAUCAAAGGACAUGAAGUUUGAUCUGGGUUCAAGGAAGGGUAUUAAGGCAUGUGUGGCGGUUGGGACGUUACUUGCGAGGCGUGCGAUAGAGGAUGAUAUUCACUAUGCAAUUUAUACACCUAGAAAAGGCGACAAAACUGAAGGAAAGAUUGAGGUUGUGUUGCAUGGAAUAAUUGAUAAUGGAGUUGAUGUGAAGGUGAAACUCAAACAAAGGAAGCUAACAACGGUAUGUCAUGAUUAUUUAUUAUUGUACUUUGCUUGUCAU
This 624-nucleotide ribosomal RNA is filed under the name Triticum aestivum (bread wheat). RNAcentral's name for it is "partial small subunit ribosomal RNA". The record is from RNAcentral. Lineage: Eukaryota; Viridiplantae; Streptophyta; Magnoliopsida; Poales; Poaceae.